Homo sapiens (human) is the source of this 1464-nucleotide long non-coding RNA. Ensembl annotates it as arylacetamide deacetylase pseudogene 1. Its record names the gene AADACP1. The record is from Ensembl. NCBI's taxonomy places the organism in Eukaryota, Metazoa, Chordata, Mammalia, Primates, Hominidae.
GUUUCAAACAAGUAUUUGCUGUGUUGCCAAAGUAGAAAGAGCAGAAGGGAAACAUCAUGGGAAGAAAGACUAUUUUGUUUCUGAUUGCAGGGGUCCUUGGGGCAUAUUAUGUUUAUACUCCUCUCUCAGAUAAUAUUGAGGAACUCUGGUGACUGGUGUGGAUAGCUACACCUGUGAAAAUGGUAACAAAUUUGCUACAGAAUAGCACCUAAAUAUCAUUUUCCAGAUCAAUUUGAAGAUGUAUAUAAUGCACUAAGAUGGUUGUUAUGCCAAGAUAUUCUUGAAAAAUAUCGUAGAGAGCCUAAAAGAAUUGGCAUUUCUGGAGACACUGCUGGUGGAAAUUUAGCUGCAGCAGUGACCCAACUGCUCAUAGAAGACCCAGAUGUCAAGAUCAAACUCAAGCUUCAGUCUUUAAUAUAUCCUGCCCUUCAGACGCUUGACAUGGAUUUACUAUCACAUCAGAAAAAACUAGACUCUCUAGUUCUGUCCAAACCAUUCAUGGUCAGGUUCUGUAGGGAAUACUUUACCACAGACAGAUCACUUGAAAAAGUCAUGUUCUUCAACAUGUACCAAUGGAAUCAAACCAUCUGUUCAGAUUUGUUAAUUGGAGUUCCUUGCUCACUGAGAAGUUUAAGAAAGGCCACUUUUGUUAUAUUCCAACUCGUGGUAGUUCUGAGCUAGCUAAAAAAUAUCCAGGGUUCCUAGAUGUGAGGGCAGCCCCUUUGUUGGCCAAUGACAAGUUACAUGGUUUACCCCUGUCCUAUAUCAUCACCUGUCAAUAUGACAUCUUAAGAGAUGAUGGACUCAUGUACAUCACGCGACUUUAGAACUCUGGAGUUCAAGUGACACAUAACCACAGUGAAGAUGGAUUCCAUGGAGCACUUUCCUAUAAUGGGCUUAAAAUUGAGUAUGGAAUAGAAAAUCAGUAUAUGAGUUGGCUAAGUGAAAAUCUAUAGUAAAAAUGUAAGCAAUGGUUUAUUUAAAAUGUAUAAGGCUCAGAACAGGAAACAAAUUAGUGAAAAUCAAAGGGUUGAUGUUUGAAUUGGUCUUUAUCAUCUGUGACCUUUCUAAGGUCCUCAUAGCCAUAGUGGGUUUUGGUUUUGUUUUUAUUUAUUGGCCGCUAGCAAAUUCUUCUCCAUUUUAUUUAUUAUCCUGUUAUUCACUCACUUCUGUGAAGAUACUUUAGUAUUUUCUUCUGCUACCAUUACUCACUUGUUAAAUCUCUAGUUUACAGCUAUAGUUUUUUGAUUGCCGAAUAGUAUUACAGAUGAGAAGAAAGUUUUAAACAAACACGUCUGAUUUGUAAAAUGCCAGUUUUAGUCAACAUGAAUUUAGAGACUUAAAAUGUUUCCCUGUGAGAACUGAUAUGAAAUAUGUGCCAUCUCUUUUAAAAAGCAUUUGCCUCAAUAUAAUGCUGUUUGCCUGUCACUGUAAAAUUUGCUUCUUAAUACAGAUCUCUUCCAG